Molecule: ribosomal RNA, 373 nt
Filed under: uncultured bacterium
Lineage: Bacteria
Description: bacterial SSU rRNA
Rfam family: Bacterial small subunit ribosomal RNA
Source: RNAcentral
GUAGGUGACAAGCGUUAUCCGGAAUUACUGGGCGUAAAGCGCACGCAGGUGGCUGAACAAGUCUGACGUGAGAUAUCUCGCGGUUUACCUGGGAGGGGUCGUUGGAAACUGUUUAGCUUGAGGCGACGAGAGGGGUGUAGAAUUCCCGGUGUAGUGGUGGAAUGCGUAGAUAUCGGGAGGAAUACCAGUGGCGAAAGCGGCACCCUGGCGUUAGCCUGACGCUCAUGUGCGAAGGCGUGGGGAGCGAACGGGAUUAGAUACCCCGGUAGUCCACGCGGUAAACGAUGAGUACUAGGUGUGGGUGGAGUGAAAUCCGUCCGUGCCGAAGCAAACGCGUUAAGUACUCCGCCUGGGGAGUACGGCCGCAAGGCUA